This is a long non-coding RNA of Symphalangus syndactylus (siamang), 238 nucleotides long. RefSeq lists it as uncharacterized. Lineage: Eukaryota; Metazoa; Chordata; Mammalia; Primates; Hylobatidae. The record is from RefSeq and is a predicted model, not a curated record.
UCAGCUAAAAUCAUCCACAUACCAUCGAGACUACCAAGAUGUCAAAUACCUUUCUAAACUAUACCAAACCAGAGGAUAAAAACAACAGGUAGAAUGAUGAAGACAGAAGAGAAAAGAGCAAAGCAUUUCAACCUUGGUUUUCUUUUGGAGCAAAAUUAAAAGUCAGAAAUCAUCCAAGCUAGGAGAUUUCCAUAAGUGACCCCACUGAGUUACAUAAAUAAAAUUCCAGCAUAUUAAA